This 253-nucleotide ribosomal RNA is filed under the name uncultured bacterium. RNAcentral's name for it is "partial 16S ribosomal RNA". It matches the Rfam family "Bacterial small subunit ribosomal RNA", at positions 524 to 776 of the family's 1533-position model. The record is from RNAcentral.
UACGGGGGGGGCAAGCGUUGUUCGGAAUUACUGGGCGUAAAGGGCUCGUAGGCGGCCAACUAAGUCGGAUGUGAAAUCCCCAGGCUUAACCUGGGAACUGCAUCCGAUACUGGAUGGCUUGAAUUCGGGAGAGGGAUGCAGAAUUCCAGGUGUAGCGGUGAAAUGCGUAGAUAUCUGGAGGAAUACCGGUGGCGAAGGCGGCAUCCUGGACCGGCAUUGACGCUGAGGAGCGAAAGCUAGGGGAGCAAACGGG